AUAAAGGGAAAUGAGUUUGAACU
This 23-nucleotide non-coding RNA is filed under the name Cricetulus griseus (Chinese hamster). The record is from RNAcentral. Lineage: Eukaryota; Metazoa; Chordata; Mammalia; Rodentia; Cricetidae.